AAAUUGAAGAGUUUGAUCAUGGCUCAGAUUGAACGCUGGCGGCAGGCCUAACACAUGCAAGUCGAGCGGUAGCACAGAGAGCUUGCUCUCGGGUGACGAGCGGCGGACGGGUGAGUAAUGUCUGGGAAACUGCCUGAUGGAGGGGAUAACUACUGGAAACGGUAGCUAAUACCGCAUAACGUCGCAAGACCAAAGUGGGGGACCUUCGGGCCUCAUGCCAUCAGAUGUGCCCAGAUGGGAUUAGCUAGUAGGUGGGGUAACGGCUCACCUAGGCGACGAUCCUAGCUGGUCUGAGAGGAUGACCAGCCACACUGGAACUGAGACACGGUCCAGACUCCUACGGGAGGCAGCAGUGGGGAAUAUUGCACAAUGGGCGCAAGCCUGAUGCAGCCAUGCCGCGUGUGUGAAGAAGGCCUUCGGGUUGUAAAGCACUUUCAGCGGGGAGGAAGGCGUUAAGGUUAAUAACCUUGGCGAUUGACGUUACCCGCAGAAGAAGCACCGGCUAACUCCGUGCCAGCAGCCGCGGUAAUACGGAGGGUGCAAGCGUUAAUCGGAAUUACUGGGCGUAAAGCGCACGCAGGCGGUCUGUCAAGUCGGAUGUGAAAUCCCCGGGCUCAACCUGGGAACUGCAUUCGAAACUGGCAGGCUAGAGUCUUGUAGAGGGGGGUAGAAUUCCAGGUGUAGCGGUGAAAUGCGUAGAGAUCUGGAGGAAUACCGGUGGCGAAGGCGGCCCCCUGGACAAAGACUGACGCUCAGGUGCGAAAGCGUGGGGAGCAAACAGGAUUAGAUACCUGGUAGUCCACGCCGUAAACGAUGUCGAUUUGGAGGUUGUGCCCUUGAGGCGUGGCUUCCGGAGCUAACGCGUUAAAUCGACCGCCUGGGGAGUACGGCCGCAAGGUUAAAACUCAAAUGAAUUGACGGGGGCCCGCACAAGCGGUGGAGCAUGUGGUUUAAUUCGAUGCAACGCGAAGAACCUUACCUGGUCUUGACAUCCACAGAACUUUCCAGAGAUGGAUUGGUGCCUUCGGGAACUGUGAGACAGGUGCUGCAUGGCUGUCGUCAGCUCGUGUUGUGAAAUGUUGGGUUAAGUCCCGCAACGAGCGCAACCCUUAUCCUUUGUUGCCAGCGGUUAGGCCGGGAACUCAAAGGAGACUGCCAGUGAUAAACUGGAGGAAGGUGGGGAUGACGUCAAGUCAUCAUGGCCCUUACGACCAGGGCUACACACGUGCUACAAUGGCAUAUACAAAGAGAAGCGACCUCGCGAGAGCAAGCGGACCUCAUAAAGUAUGUCGUAGUCCGGAUUGGAGUCUGCAACUCGACUCCAUGAAGUCGGAAUCGCUAGUAAUCGUAGAUCAGAAUGCUACGGUGAAUACGUUCCCGGGCCUUGUACACACCGCCCGUCACACCAUGGGAGUGGGUUGCAAAAGAAGUAGGUAGCUUAACCUUCGGGAGGGCGCUUACCACUUUGUGAUUCAUGACUGGGGUGAAGUCGUAACAAGGUAACCGUAGGGGAACCUGCGGUUGGAUCACCUCCUUA
This 1537-nucleotide ribosomal RNA is filed under the name Klebsiella pneumoniae. RNAcentral's name for it is "bacterial SSU rRNA". It matches the Rfam family "Bacterial small subunit ribosomal RNA". The record is from RNAcentral. Lineage: Bacteria; Pseudomonadati; Pseudomonadota; Gammaproteobacteria; Enterobacterales; Enterobacteriaceae.